This is a non-coding RNA of Danio rerio (zebrafish), 353 nucleotides long. Lineage: Eukaryota; Metazoa; Chordata; Actinopteri; Cypriniformes; Danionidae. The record is from Ensembl.
AGACUCAAAUCUUGUAAAGGUAGACAACACCGAUAUAAUUACACAAAAACAUUGACGACAAGGAAAACCUGGUCAGAUCGCGCGAACAACUGGACUGUGAAGAGGAUUACGUUAGUCAAAGCAGGCACGGGGAACAAAAUAACUGGCAGCGAAAAUACUUCUUGGUGAUGUGUACAAAGAUUUAAUUGUGAAAAAGGGAUGAUUUCAAGAAGAGAGAAGACAUACGGAUGACCAGUAAAGGAACAAAGCAAAAAAAUAAAUAAAAAAUGGCUGUUAAGGUUGCAAGUACUUCUCAAAGUUCAGCUAUGUUUGCAAUGGGGAAACAACUUAAAAGAGACCUCAAGAAGCGAUAC